AACUGCCAAACAAUUCAUUAACAUUUCAGAUGCAAACAAAUAUAAAACAUGAUGAACAUUAAUAAAUUCAUCAGGAUAAGCUAACAGUUAAAAAUAAAAUUGUACUCGUGCAUUAGUGAUUUCCCGCGACAAUCUAAUACCAUAUAUUUAAUUAUAGAAAAAGAGCAUCUGGAGGCUUGUAGUAAAGCAAAUGAUGAUACCUCUAUA
RNAcentral lists this unclassified non-coding RNA (207 nucleotides) under Hevea brasiliensis (rubber tree). Lineage: Eukaryota; Viridiplantae; Streptophyta; Magnoliopsida; Malpighiales; Euphorbiaceae. The record is from RNAcentral.